RNAcentral lists this ribosomal RNA (253 nucleotides) under uncultured bacterium. RNAcentral describes it as "partial 16S ribosomal RNA". It matches the Rfam family "Bacterial small subunit ribosomal RNA", at positions 524 to 776 of the family's 1533-position model. The record is from RNAcentral.
GACAGAGGUGGCAAGCGUUGUUCGGAUUUAUUGGGUGUAAAGGGCAGGUAGGUUGUUAUGUAAGUCUGGUGUGAAAGCCCACGGCUCAACCGUGGAAUGGCAUUGGAAACUGCAUGACUUGAGUACCGGAGAGGUGAAGGGAAUUCUCGGUGUAAGGGUGAAAUCUGUAGAUAUCGAGAGGAACACCAGUGGCGAAGGCGCUUCACUGGCCGGUUACUGACACUGAGCUGCGAAAGCAAGGGGAGCAAACAGG